Manis pentadactyla (Chinese pangolin) is the source of this 809-nucleotide long non-coding RNA. RefSeq lists it as uncharacterized. The record is from RefSeq and is a predicted model, not a curated record. Lineage: Eukaryota; Metazoa; Chordata; Mammalia; Pholidota; Manidae. The transcript is spliced from 5 exons.
GGCCGGGGCUGUAGUCAGGCAGGCUGCGAGUUUGCGGGUCGGGAAGACUGGUUGCGGGAGCCCCAGCACCUCCGAUCACUCACUUUCGUGGGCGCGCAGUUCUCGAGGAGAUCUGGGGACUGAGGAGCCUCACACAUAACUAGCCCAAGGUUAUCCAGCUUGCAACAGCUGGGAUGAGCGCGGGCAACCUCCAGGGCGCUGGGGUCAACGGCUUCAACAGUGCAAGAUACUGAGCCCUAAAUUUAUGUACCAAGUUGAGCUAUGAUUACUGCCUCUGUGUAUACUUUUCCUACUGGAUUGUGAGAUUAAAUUUGGUGAAAUGAAGCACAGCAUCAUACAGAAAACUGCAGAAAUCCUAAGUAUACGUUUCAGCGAAUUACUAGAAUGUGGACACAAUUGUGUAACCAUCACUGAGUUUAAGAAACAGAGUAUGACCAGCACCCCAGAAGCCCCCCACUCGUCUCUUCACUGUCUUGUUCCUCCUCCGACGUGACUACUUUUCUGAUUCUACCACCACAGUUUGGCCAUCUUCUAAAGAGUUUGAACCUGCUGAAGAACUGACUUGACUAUCUUGAUGGGGGAGUUGAAGAAAUCCUUCACUGGAGUCUGAGCAGGUGAGCUCAUAUUGAACUUCUAAGUCUCAGAUCAAGCAACCAUCUCUGUAAAGUCCUCCUUGCCUCUCCCAGACUAAGGAUUUUGGAAGUGUUACCUUCUGCAGAAUCCAUACUACUCCGAAGUUCUUCUACAGUUUUUGUCAAACUCUGGUUUUCCGUUUCUAAUUUCAAUAAACUACUUGAUGUCAAUUCAUU